RNAcentral lists this ribosomal RNA (744 nucleotides) under Triticum aestivum (bread wheat). Its description in RNAcentral is "partial small subunit ribosomal RNA". The record is from RNAcentral. Lineage: Eukaryota; Viridiplantae; Streptophyta; Magnoliopsida; Poales; Poaceae.
AUGCUCGUGCUCCCGGCGCUGUGCGCAUUGCUGCUCAGAGCAGCGUCGGCGGCUCAAUGGACGCCCGCCCACGCGACGUUCUACGGCGGCGGCGACGCGUCCGGCACCAUGGGCGGCGCCUGCGGGUACGGCAACCUGUACGGCGCGGGGUACGGCACGCGGACGACGGCGCUGAGCACCGCCCUGUUCAACAACGGCGCGUCGUGCGGGGCGUGCUUCACGAUCGCGUGCGACACGCGCAAGUCGCGGAUGUGCAAGCCGGGGGCCUCCAUCACCGUCACGGCCACCAACUUCUGCCCGCCCAACUACGCGCUCGCCGGCGGCGACAACGGCGGCUGGUGCAACCCGCCGCGGCAGCACUUCGACAUGGCCCAGCCGGCGUGGGAGACCAUCGCCGUCUACAAGGCCGGCAUCGUCCCCGUCAACUACAGGAGGGUGCGCUGCCAGCGGAGCGGCGGGAUCAGGUUCACCAUCAACGGCCACAGCUACUUCGAGCUGGUGCUGGUGACCAACGUGGGCGGCAGCGGCGGCGUGGCGCAGAUGUGGAUCAAGGGCUCCCGCACCAACUGGAUGGAGAUGAGCCGGAACUGGGGCGCAAACUGGCAGAGCAACGCCAACCUCGACGGCCAGAGCCUCUCGUUCCGCGUCAAAUCCGACGACGGCCGCGUCGUCACGGCCAACGACGUCGCGCCGCCCGGGUGGUGGUUCGGCGGCACGUACACGUCCGGGGCUCAGUUGUACUGA